Molecule: long non-coding RNA, 494 nt
Filed under: Salmo salar (Atlantic salmon)
Lineage: Eukaryota; Metazoa; Chordata; Actinopteri; Salmoniformes; Salmonidae
Description: lncRNA (ENSSSAG00000102321.1, ENSSSAG00020058808.1, ENSSSAG00075036846.1)
Source: RNAcentral
CAGGUGGCUGUGCAGUGAGUGGGUUGCUCUUUGACAAUGCGGCAUUGGACUGUCUACAGUCAUAAAAUGUUAAAAUUAUAAGAUCUAGAGAUGGGAGUAGGCAAGAAGGAGUCAACCGGGAUUGGCAAGAGGAAUGUCUAGUUUUCCAGAAAAUAAUUGGGUUAGGACUGUAACUACAAGAGGACUUGACAAUGAGCCGGAUCUGAGAGGAUCACCAAAACUGAAGAGCAUACAACCAUGCCGACAACCAUCCGUGGAGAUCAGUGGACAAAGGCUGGACAAUGGGCCACACCGAAAUAAAAACGCAUGGUUCCCAAGAAAGAGAUGAAGUAAGAGCUGAGCAGAGGAGAAGAGCUGCAGCCUGGAGGAAUGAAUCUGAACAGCAAUGAAACUAAAGUCCAGACUGGAACAGUCAGGUGUGCUGUAUCUAAGAUAGACUAGUGAGGGAUGACAGAUUCAUCUCUGUUUGGAUCCCAAAUGGCACCUUAUUCCUU